Molecule: ribosomal RNA, 461 nt
Filed under: uncultured bacterium
Lineage: Bacteria
Description: bacterial SSU rRNA
Rfam family: Bacterial small subunit ribosomal RNA
Source: RNAcentral
GAUGAACGCUGGCGGCGUGCUUAACACAUGCAAGUCGAGCGGGCAAUUUAUCUAGCACUGAUUACUUCAAAUGGAAAUCAUAAGUGUAAUCAUGAAUUUCUACCUUUAAUAAAGAAAAAGAAAUUCAUGUACGCAAAUAGUGAUAACACAUGAAAGUGGAGUGAUGAGUGCUGGAUAAAUUGCUAGCGGCGGACGGGUGCGUAACACGUGGGUAACCUGCCCCUAUCACUGGGAUAACACACUGAAAAGUGUGCUAAUACCAGAUAAUAUAAGCUUUUGGCAUCAUUAGCUUAUCAAAGAAUUUCGGAUAGGGAUGGGCCCGCGUCUGAUUAGCUAGUUGGUGAGGUAACGGCUCACCAAGGCAACGAUCAGUAGCCGACCUGAGAGGGUGAUCGGCCACACUGGAACUGAGACACGGUCCAGACUCCUACGGGAGGCAGCAGUGGGGAAUAUUGCACAAU